RNAcentral lists this transfer RNA (72 nucleotides) under Stegodyphus mimosarum. It matches the Rfam family "tRNA". Rfam says of the family: Transfer RNA (tRNA) molecules are approximately 80 nucleotides in length. Their secondary structure includes four short double-helical elements and three loops (D, anti-codon, and T loops). Further hydrogen bonds mediate the characteristic L-shaped molecular structure. tRNAs have two regions of fundamental functional importance: the anti-codon, which is responsible for specific mRNA codon recognition, and the 3' end, to which the tRNAs corresponding amino acid is attached (by aminoacyl-tRNA synthetases). tRNAs cope with the degeneracy of the genetic code in two manners: having more than one tRNA (with a specific anti-codon) for a particular amino acid; and 'wobble' base-pairing, i.e. permitting non-standard base-pairing at the 3rd anti-codon position. Lineage: Eukaryota; Metazoa; Arthropoda; Arachnida; Araneae; Eresidae. The record is from Rfam by way of RNAcentral.
GCCUUCGUGGUGCAACGGUUAGCACACUCUGAGCGUAUUCGAGAGGUCUAGGUUCAAAUCCCGGUGAAGGCA